GCCUGGGUGGCUCAGUCGGUUGAGCGGCCGACUUCUGCUCAGGUCAUGAUCUCGCGGUCCGUGAGUUCGAGCCCCGCUUCAGGCU
RNAcentral lists this transfer RNA (85 nucleotides) under Felis catus (domestic cat). It matches the Rfam family "tRNA". From Rfam's summary of the family: Transfer RNA (tRNA) molecules are approximately 80 nucleotides in length. Their secondary structure includes four short double-helical elements and three loops (D, anti-codon, and T loops). Further hydrogen bonds mediate the characteristic L-shaped molecular structure. tRNAs have two regions of fundamental functional importance: the anti-codon, which is responsible for specific mRNA codon recognition, and the 3' end, to which the tRNAs corresponding amino acid is attached (by aminoacyl-tRNA synthetases). tRNAs cope with the degeneracy of the genetic code in two manners: having more than one tRNA (with a specific anti-codon) for a particular amino acid; and 'wobble' base-pairing, i.e. permitting non-standard base-pairing at the 3rd anti-codon position. Lineage: Eukaryota; Metazoa; Chordata; Mammalia; Carnivora; Felidae. The record is from Rfam by way of RNAcentral.